RNAcentral lists this ribosomal RNA (254 nucleotides) under uncultured bacterium. RNAcentral describes it as "partial 16S ribosomal RNA". It matches the Rfam family "Bacterial small subunit ribosomal RNA", at positions 524 to 776 of the family's 1533-position model. The record is from RNAcentral.
UACGUAGGGUGCGAGCGUUGUCCGGAAUUAUUGGGCGUAAAGAGCUCGUAGGCGGUGUGUCACGUCGGCCGUGAAAACCUGCAGCUUAACUGUGGGCGUGCGGUCGAUACGGGCAUCACUGGAGUUCGGCAGGGGAGACUGGAAUUCCUGGUGUAGCGGUGAAAUGCGUAGAUAUCGAGAGGAACACCUGCGGCGAAGGCGGGUUGCUGGGCCGACACUGACGCUGAUGCGCGAAAGCCAGGGGAGCGAACGGG